UGAUUUUGUUUUGUGUUUAAUUCGCGAUGAGUUCACAAAAAGAAAACACAAGAAUCUGCUGCUUGUGUGGAUCUUCACCUUCUAAAGAUCCCAGCAUCACUUUGCAUCGGUUUCCAAAGCCUGGCACUAAAAAUGCUCUGCGUUGUGAAUUAUGGGCAAAGUAUUGCUUCCCAAACGAAGCCUGGUCUUCACCAAAAUUCCAGGACGACUCCAUAAACAACAUAAGAUGCUAUGCAGCAAACAUUUCAAAAGCACAUGCUUUAAUGAGAAGAAGUUGUUCAGAACAGCUGUACCUGAUGUUUGUAAAUAUCAAAAUAUAAUUGGUCUAGUGUCUUUCUCUUCCUAAUCAUUUCUAUAAUAAAGAAGAAAUAACACCAACGUUUAUUACACAAUAUGAUAGAAUAAUUUAAACCAUGUCUGUAAACUUGUUGUUUGUUAAACAAAUCGAUAGUAUUCUUUAUUGUAUAAUAACAUAGUCUUGUUUUUUAUAAUAGUAACACUUUAAAACUAACUAGAAUUUUUGUUUGUUUAUGUUUUGAUGUUGAAAUUGUAUGCAAUAGGCCCAUCCAUACUUGUUAUUUUGGACGAAAAUGUCUGAAAUACCUACCUAAAUUGAUUAAAUUCAUGUAUUUUAAAAUUCAUUACAUAGGUGCACAUACUUGUGAUUUAUGAACACCUUUUGUACCCUAUUUCUGGAAAUAAAUUAUAAUUAUUAACAUGCUAAAUAAAAAACUCUUGUACUGUAA
Helicoverpa armigera (cotton bollworm) is the source of this 746-nucleotide long non-coding RNA. RefSeq lists it as uncharacterized. NCBI's taxonomy places the organism in Eukaryota, Metazoa, Arthropoda, Insecta, Lepidoptera, Noctuidae. The transcript has 2 exons. The record is from RefSeq and is a predicted model, not a curated record.